Molecule: long non-coding RNA, 963 nt
Organism: Lycium ferocissimum
Lineage: Eukaryota; Viridiplantae; Streptophyta; Magnoliopsida; Solanales; Solanaceae
Exons: 2
Source: RefSeq, a predicted model, not a curated record
ACGUUCCUCUCUCUUCUCUCUUCAACCUAACCAUGGCUGCCACCCCACUCCCUGUCACUUCCAUCACUUCACCACCACCACAGCAACAUCUCACAAAAUCUGCUACCUACACCCCUCUUCUCCCUCCUAACACUCCAUCUCUGAAGCUUGCAGGCUCCAUGUGCAAUUUCAGCAGAUUUCGUGGCUCUUCAAGAGGAUUCAGAGACUCGACGACGACAAUAGCCUCAGUUCGCUAUCCCGGAGAAGGUCAGUAAUCACAUUCACUUUCCCUUUCAUUUCAGUUGUUAGAUAAAUGUAAUUGUUUGAGUGUUUUUGCCUCUCAUUUGGUUUUCUGUUUUAAAAAUGUAUUUUUUGUAUCCGCAAUUUGCUUGUUUAAUUUUCUGUUUGAGGUGUGUCGAACCUAAUUUUUGUUGUUCUUGUUUGAUGAAAUCAGUAUGUAGAAGUUAAAAUGAAAUAAGGACACUUAGAAGGGCUAUCGAUUCCAUUUAAUGGAUGUAUGCCGCACCAUGUCGUUUGUCUAACUUUCUGUUGCUAGUAUUCAUUUUAACUCGUAUUUCGGAAAGGUGAUAAAAGAGCUGGUACAUAAGAAAUCCAGAGAGAUAAAACUUGAAUUUAUGAUCAUUUUGGGGAUGCUUGUUUUCCUUGAAAAUAUAUGGGAUAACAUAGUACUAUAUCUUUUCGUUGAGUUUUGUUUUACAAAUUGAACUAGCUCCUUGCCUGAAAUUCCAAAACUGCUAAGUGUGUGUUCAUGACUAAGUUACUAGCGUUUUUAUUCUUAAAACCUAGCAAAUGUUUAGGAUAGUAAAGUAGUUGUGCAAAACUUAUCUUUAGUUAAUAUUUCAUUAUAUUAGAAGGAAAAAUGAGGUCCUGGUGUGAACUUUGAAUAGUUUAGGUUAAACAUGUAAACACCCUCACCUCUCAUUUCAUUCUUAGUUAUAUAAUAAAAAUGUAAUCGUUUGGUUA